UACAGAGGUCCCAAGCGUUGUUCGGAUUCACUGGGCGUAAAGGGUGCGUAGGCGGUCGGGUAAGUCUGAUGUGAAAUCUCACAGCUUAACUGUGAAACUGCAUUGGAUACUAUCCGGCUCGAGGAAUGGAGGGGAGACUGGAAUACUUGGUGUAGCAGUGAAAUGCGUAGAUAUCAAGUGGAAUACCAGUGGCGAAGGCGAGUCUCUGGACAUUUCCUGACGCUGAGGCACGAAAGCCAGGGGAGCAAACGGG
This 253-nucleotide ribosomal RNA is filed under the name uncultured bacterium. Its description in RNAcentral is "partial 16S ribosomal RNA". It matches the Rfam family "Bacterial small subunit ribosomal RNA", at positions 524 to 776 of the family's 1533-position model. The record is from RNAcentral.